RNAcentral lists this ribosomal RNA (466 nucleotides) under uncultured bacterium. Its description in RNAcentral is "partial 16S ribosomal RNA". It matches the Rfam family "Bacterial small subunit ribosomal RNA", at positions 28 to 508 of the family's 1533-position model. The record is from RNAcentral.
GAUAAACGCUGACAGAAUGCUUAACACAUGCAAGUCGAUGAUGGGAGCUAGCUUGCUAGAAGAAGUCAUGGCGGACGGGUGAGUAACGUGUAAAGAACUUACCAUAUAGACUGGGAUAACAGAGGGAAACUUCUGAUAAUACUGGAUAAGUUAGUAGUAGCAUUACUAAGUAAUGAAAGGUAGCAAUACGCUAUAUGAGAGCUUUGCAUCCUAUUAGCUAGUUGGUGGGGUAAAAGCCUACCAAGGCGAUGAUAGGUAGCCGGCCUGAGAGGGUGGACAGCCACAAGGGGACUGAGAUACGGCCCUUACUCCUACGGGAGGCAGCAGUGGGGAAUAUUGGACAAUGGAGGCAACUCUGAUCCAGCAAUUCUGUGUGUGUGAAGAAGGUUUUAGGACUGUAAAACACUUUUAGUAGGGAAGAAAGAAAUGACGGUACCUACAGAAGAAGCGACGGCUAAAUACGUGC